Molecule: transfer RNA, 88 nt
Filed under: Trametes sanguinea
Lineage: Eukaryota; Fungi; Basidiomycota; Agaricomycetes; Polyporales; Polyporaceae
Description: tRNA-Arg
Rfam family: tRNA
About the family: Transfer RNA (tRNA) molecules are approximately 80 nucleotides in length. Their secondary structure includes four short double-helical elements and three loops (D, anti-codon, and T loops).
Source: RNAcentral
GGCCGACUGGCCUAAUGGUUAAGGCGUCAGUUUCCGGUAUCUUGUGUGUGAUAGCUGAAGAUUCUGGGUUCGAAUCCCAGGUUGGUCG